Molecule: long non-coding RNA, 844 nt
Filed under: Fukomys damarensis (Damara mole-rat)
Lineage: Eukaryota; Metazoa; Chordata; Mammalia; Rodentia; Bathyergidae
Description: lncRNA (ENSFDAG00000031736.1)
Source: RNAcentral
ACUGAAUAUGUUCCUUUUGUUUCCAAACAACUGAAUGGUGUAAGAUGAAAACGCAUAAUUUAGCUCUUGUUAACAACAAUUAAUCCCAGCCGGGCCUGAGAACUUCCCUGAGGAGCCUGCCCUCGCCAACCUGGAGAGCUACUUGGCCAGAGGCGACGCCUGAGCUCCGCCCCCAGGACCCUGCCAUCUCCAUCCGGGAGACCAUCGCUGGGCGGGGCCUUAGCCGCUCUGGAGGAGGCCGCCAUAUCCUGUCAGGGAAGCGGCGCGGCCCGGGCCUGAGCUCCGGCGAGGACCUCGCCACUGCUGGGGCCUUUACCUCAAACGACAGAGAGCAGAAGGGCCAUCAUUCUGAGCCAGGAAGAUAACUGGGUGGUGAGCAGCCGAGAGAGAGCCGCCACUCAGUCUCGUUGAGAAUCAAAGCCCGCUGAGAGUGUGAAGAGAAUCCCUCCAAUAAAGAGUCAGCAGUUGGCAGAAGCUGGGUGAAUGAACGACUGCAUGUAGUUCCUGCGCCUCAGGUUCCGUCGGCUGCCAAGACCGAGAAAUGGAAAUGCCAGACCACCAAAGUCUGCCUCGGCUGUGAGAUUCCACGGGGUUAUCCCAGUGCCAAAGGCUCAAGCCUUAUGUGCAGUCUUGCCAUGGAAUUACAAGACAUUUCAAAAUUUUUGAGGGGCUGCAGGAAGACUGCUUACUCAUGAAGAAGGGAGGCAAUAAACUUCAGGUAGUCAAUGGCUCUGUAGUCCUGCUGCUGAUGCUCUUAGAAUUUUGGAGAGUUAAAACUGGCUGGAAGAAGAAAACGAUUCAUCGGUCACUCCAAAGGCAACAAAGUACAUUGAUUGAGAUAUGA